RNAcentral lists this ribosomal RNA (459 nucleotides) under uncultured bacterium. Its description in RNAcentral is "partial 16S ribosomal RNA". It matches the Rfam family "Bacterial small subunit ribosomal RNA", at positions 338 to 795 of the family's 1533-position model. The record is from RNAcentral.
CCUACGGGCGGCAGCAGUGAGGAAUAUUGGUCAAUGGUCGGGAGACUGAACCAGCCAAGCCGCGUGAGGGAUGAAGGUACAGAGUAUCGUAAACCUCUUUUGUCAGGGAACAAAGGCGGGGACGUGUCCCCGGAUGAGUGUACCUGAAGAAAAAGCAUCGGCUAACUCCGUGCCAGCAGCCGCGGUAAUACGGAGGAUGCGAGCGUUAUCCGGAUUUAUUGGGUUUAAAGGGUGCGCAGGCGGUCUGUUAAGUCAGCGGGCAAAGCCCGGGGCUCAACCCCGGCCCGCCGUUGAAACUGGCAGUCUCGAGUUGGAGAGAAGUAUGCGGAAUGCGCGGUGUAGCGGUGAAAUGCAUAGAUAUCGCGCAGAACUCCGAUGGCGAAGGCAGCAUGCCGGCUCCACACUGACGCUGAGGCACGAAAGCGUGGGUAUCGAACAGGAUUAGAUACCCGGGUAGUC